CUACGGAGGGUGCGAGCGUUAAUCGGAAUUACUGGGCGUAAAGGGUCCGUAGGCGGUCUGCUUAGUCUGAUGUGAAAGCCCCGGGCUUAACCUGGGAAUGGCAUUGGAUACUGGCGGACUAGAGUCUGUUAGAGGGUGGUGGAAUUCCCGGUGUAGCGGUGAAAUGCGUAGAUAUCUGAAGGAACACCAGUGGCGAAGGCGGCUCCCUGGACUCAAACUGACGCUGAGGUACGAAAGCGUGGGUAGCAAACGGCAUUAGAUACCCCAGUAGUCC
This 274-nucleotide ribosomal RNA is filed under the name uncultured bacterium. RNAcentral's name for it is "partial 16S ribosomal RNA". It matches the Rfam family "Bacterial small subunit ribosomal RNA", at positions 523 to 796 of the family's 1533-position model. The record is from RNAcentral.